GAAGAAGGACAGACGAUCGCCGCCCGUUUAAAACGGGGGGAGGAAAGUCCGGGCUCCGCAGGACGGGAUGGUUCCUAACGGGAACCGGGGGUGACCCCAGGGAAAGUGCCACAGAGAGGAGACCGCCCGGAGGCCUUUGGCCGACGGGUAAGGGUGAAAGGGUGAGGUAAGAGCUCACCAGUUCCGGCGGUGACGUCGGAAGCUCGGUAAACCCCAUCCGGAGCAAGACCGAAUAGGGG
This 239-nucleotide RNase P RNA is filed under the name Desulfuromonas sp. RNAcentral describes it as "partial RNase P RNA component class A". It matches the Rfam family "Bacterial RNase P class A", at positions 1 to 238 of the family's 367-position model. Rfam says of the family: Ribonuclease P (RNase P) is a ubiquitous endoribonuclease, found in archaea, bacteria and eukarya as well as chloroplasts and mitochondria. Its best characterised activity is the generation of mature 5'-ends of tRNAs by cleaving the 5'-leader elements of precursor-tRNAs. Cellular RNase Ps are ribonucleoproteins. The record is from RNAcentral. Lineage: Bacteria; Pseudomonadati; Thermodesulfobacteriota; Desulfuromonadia; Desulfuromonadales; Desulfuromonadaceae.